AGCAGCCGCGGUAAUUCCAGCUCCAAUAGCGUAUAUUAAAGUUGUUGCAGUUAAAAAGCUCGUAGUUGAAUUUCGAGAUCAAAUUGUUGGUCGUGCCUCGGUACGUACUGGCAUUAUUGAUUUCUCCUUUCUGAAGAACCUUGAUGUCAUUAAUUUGGUGUCUUGGGGAAUCAGGACCGUUACUUUGAAAAAAUUAGAGUGUUUAAAGCAGGCUCACGCUUGAAUACAUUAGCAUGGAAUAAUGAAAUAGGACGUUUGAUUCUAUUUUGUUGGUUUCUAGGUAUCGACGUAAUGAUUAAUAGGGAUAGUUGGGGGCAUUAGUAUUCAAUUGUCAGAGGUGAAAUUCUUGGAUUUAUUGAAGACUAAC
RNAcentral lists this ribosomal RNA (367 nucleotides) under uncultured Glomus. RNAcentral's name for it is "SSU rRNA". It matches the Rfam family "Eukaryotic small subunit ribosomal RNA", at positions 569 to 940 of the family's 1831-position model. The record is from RNAcentral. Lineage: Eukaryota; Fungi; Glomeromycota; Glomeromycetes; Glomerales; Glomeraceae.